GAUGAACGCUGGCGGCGUGCCUAAUACAUGCAAGUCGAGCGAACGGACGAGAAGCUUGCUUCUCUGAUGUUAGCGGCGGACGGGUGAGUAACACGUGGAUAACCUACCUAUAAGACUGGGAUAACUUCGGGAAACCGGAGCUAAUACCGGAUAAUAUUUUGAACCGCAUGGUUCAAAAGUGAAAGACGGUCUUGCUGUCACUUAUAGAUGGAUCCGCGCUGCAUUAGCUAGUUGGUAAGGUAACGGCUUACCAAGGCAACGAUGCAUAGCCGACCUGAGAGGGUGAUCGGCCACACUGGAACUGAGACACGGUCCAGACUCCUACGGGAGGCAGCAGUAGGGAAUCUUCCGCAAUGGGCGAAAGCCUGACGGAGCAACGCCGCGUGAGUGAUGAAGGUCUUCGGAUCGUAAAACUCUGUUAUUAGGGAAGAACAUAUGUGUAAGUAACUGUGCACAUCUUGACGGUACCUAAUCAGAAAGCCACGGCUAACUACGUGCCAGCAGCCGCGGUAAUACGUAGGUGGCAAGCGUUAUCCGGAAUUAUUGGGCGUAAAGCGCGCGUAGGCGGUUUUUUAAGUCUGAUGUGAAAGCCCGCGGCUCAACCGUGGAGGGUCAUUGGAAACUGGAAAACUUGAGUGCAGAAGAGGAAAGUGGAAUUCCAUGUGUAGCGGUGAAAUGCGCGGAGAUAUGGAGGAACACCAGUGGCGAAGGCGACUUUCUGGUCUGUAACUGACGCUGAUGUGCGAAAGCGUGGGGAUCAAACAGGAUUAGAUACCCUGGUAGUCCACGCCGUAAACGAUGAGUGCUAAGUGUUAGGGGGUUUCCGCCCCUUAGUGCUGCAGCUAACGCAUUAAGCACUCCGCCUGGGGAGUACGACCGCAAGGUUGAAACUCAAAGGAAUUGACGGGGACCCGCACAAGCGGUGGAACAUGUGGUUUAAUUCGAAGCAACGCGAAGAACCUUACCAAAUCUUGACAUCCUUUGACAACUCUAGAGAUAGAGCUUUCCCCUUCGGGGGACAAAGUGACAGGUGGUGCAUGGUUGUCGUCAGCUCGUGUCGUGAGAUGUUGGGUUAAGUCCCGCAACGAGCGCAACCCUUAAGCUUAGUUGCCAUCAUUAAGUUGGGCACUCUAAGUUGACUGCCGGUGACAAACCGGAGGAAGGUGGGGAUGACGUCAAAUCAUCAUGCCCCUUAUGAUUUGGGCUACACACGUGCUACAAUGGACAAUACAAAGGGCAGCGAAACCGUGAGGUCAAGCAAAUCCCAUAAAGUUGUUCUCAGUUCGGAUUGUAGUCUGCAACUCGACUACAUGAAGCUGGAAUCGCUAGUAAUCGUAGAUCAGCAUGCUACGGUGAAUACGUUCCCGGGUCU
Molecule: ribosomal RNA, 1372 nt
Filed under: uncultured bacterium
Lineage: Bacteria
Description: bacterial SSU rRNA
Rfam family: Bacterial small subunit ribosomal RNA
Source: RNAcentral